GACGAACGCUGGCGGCGUGCUUAACACAUGCAAGUCGAACGGAAAGGCCCUGCUUUUGUGGGGUGCUCGAGUGGCGAACGUGUGAGUAACACGUGAGUAACCUGCCCUUGACUUUGGGAUAACUUCAGGAAACUGGGGCUAAUACCGGAUAGGAGCUCCUGCUGCAUGGUGGGGGUUGGAAAGUUUCGGCGGUUUGGGCUGGACUCGCGGCUUAUCAGCUUGUUGGUGGGUUAGUGGAUUACCAAGGCUUUGACGGGUAGCCGGCCUGAGAGGGUGACCGGCAAAAUUGGGACUGAGAUACGGCCCAGACUCCUACGGGAGGCAGAAGUGGGGAAUAUUGCACAAUGGGCGGAAGCCUGAUGCAGCAACGCCGCGUGCGGGAUGACGGCCUUCGGGUUGUAAACCGCUUUCGCCUGUGACGAAGCGUGAGUGACGGUAAUGGGUAAAGAAGCACCGGCUAACUACGUG
RNAcentral lists this ribosomal RNA (468 nucleotides) under uncultured bacterium. RNAcentral describes it as "partial 16S ribosomal RNA". It matches the Rfam family "Bacterial small subunit ribosomal RNA", at positions 28 to 507 of the family's 1533-position model. The record is from RNAcentral.